RNAcentral lists this ribosomal RNA (450 nucleotides) under Paenibacillus sp. TS1M1C1. RNAcentral describes it as "bacterial SSU rRNA". It matches the Rfam family "Bacterial small subunit ribosomal RNA", at positions 54 to 481 of the family's 1533-position model. The record is from RNAcentral. Lineage: Bacteria; Bacillati; Bacillota; Bacilli; Caryophanales; Paenibacillaceae.
CCUGCAAGUCGAGCGGACUCAACAGUUUCCUUCGGGAAACCGUUAGGUUAGCGGCGGACGGGUGAGUAAUACGUAGGUAACCUGCCCUUAAGACUGGGAUAACUCACGGAAACGUGGGCUAAUACCGGAUAGGCGAUUUCCUCGCAUGAGGGAAUCGGGAAAGGCGGAGCAAUCUGCCACUUAUGGAUGGACCUACGGCGCAUUAGCUAGUUGGUGGGGUAACGGCUCACCAAGGCGACGAUGCGUAGCCGACCUGAGAGGGUGAUCGGCCACACUGGGACUGAGACACGGCCCAGACUCCUACGGGAGGCAGCAGUAGGGAAUCUUCCGCAAUGGACGCAAGUCUGACGGAGCAACGCCGCGUGAGUGAUGAAGGUUUUCGGAUCGUAAAGCUCUGUUGCCAGGGAAGAACGCUAUGGAGAGUAACUGUUCCAUAGGUGACGGUACCUA